UGGAUAGUAAUACUAAUGAAAUUUAACGGAUUUGGCGGCAAGAUAGCCACUUAGAGGAACCUGCCCUGUAAACGAUGAGCCACGAUUAACCUUACUUUUACUAGAAUUCAGUUUGUAUACCGCUGUUGUCAGUUAGUUUCUUUAGAAAACUUUCGUACAUGAUAAAUUCAAGGACUUCAAGUAAAGGUGCAGCUUAUGUAAAAGAUAGAGGUGGGUUACAAUUAAAAGAGUAAUAUGGAUAAAGUUAGGAAAAAACUUUUGAAGGUGGAUUUAAUAGUAAAGUUUAAUGAGACUUGAUUAGAGCUCUAUCUUGUGUACACACCGCCCGUCGCUCGCGGGA
This is a ribosomal RNA of 340 nucleotides. It matches the Rfam family "Microsporidia small subunit ribosomal RNA", at positions 752 to 1210 of the family's 1311-position model.